GGGGUAUAGCUCAGCUGGUUAGAGCACCUGCCUUACAAGCAGGGGGUCACAGGUUCGAGUCCUGUUGUCCCC
Molecule: transfer RNA, 72 nt
Filed under: human gut metagenome
Rfam family: tRNA
About the family: Transfer RNA (tRNA) molecules are approximately 80 nucleotides in length.
Source: RNAcentral